ACCCGCUGAACUUAAGCAUAUCAAUAGCGGGAGGAAAAGAAACCAACAGGGAUUGCCCUAGUAACGGCGAGUGAAGCGGCAAUAGCUCAAAUUUGAAAGCUGGCCUUCUGGUCCGCAUUGUAAUUUGUAGAGGAUGCUUUUAGGCAGCCGCCGGUCUAAGUUCCUUGGAACAGGACGUCAUAGAGGGUGAGAAUCCCGUAUGUGACCGGCUCUGGCACCUUCUGUAAAGCUCCUUCGACGAGUCGAGUUGUUUGGGAAUGCAGCUCUAAAUGGGAGGUAAAUUUCUUCUAAAGCUAAAUACUGGCGAGAGACCGAUAGCGCACAAGUAGAGUGAUCGAAAGAUGAAAAGCACUUUGGAAAGAGAGUUAAAAAGCACGUGAAAUUGUUGAAAGGGAAGCGCUUGCAAUCAGACUUGGCUUCGGUUGUUCAACAGGUCUUCUGACCUGCCUAUUCAAUCGUUGCCAGGCCAGCAUCAGUUUCGGCGGCCGGAUAAAGGCCCUGGGAAUGUGGCUGUUCCUUCGGGGACAGUGUUAUAGCCCAGGGUGUAAUACGGCCAGCUGGGACUGAGGUCCGCGCUUCGGCUAGGAUGCUGGCGUAAUGGUUGUAAGCGGCCCGUCUUGAAACACGG
Molecule: ribosomal RNA, 628 nt
Filed under: uncultured fungus
Lineage: Eukaryota; Fungi
Description: LSU rRNA
Rfam family: Eukaryotic large subunit ribosomal RNA
Source: RNAcentral